AACGAUGUCGAUUUGGAGGUUGUUCCUUUGAGGAGUGGCUUCCGGAGCUACGCGUUAAAUCGACCGCCUGGGGGGUACGCCGCAAGUUUAAACUCAAAUGAAUUGACGGGGGCCGCACAAGCGGUGGAGCAUGUGGUUUAAUUCGAUGCAACGAGAAGAACCUUACCUACUCUUGACAUCCAGAGAAUUUAGCAGAGAUGCUUUAGUGCCUUCGGGAACUCUGAGACAGGUACUGCAUGGCUGUCGUCAGCUCGUGUUGUGAAAUGUUGGGUUAAGUCCCGCAACGAGCGCAACCCUUAUCCUUUGUUGCCAGCACAUUAUGGUGGGAACUCAAAGGAGACUGCCGGUGAUAAACCGGAGGAAGGUGGGGAUGACGUCAAGUCAUCAUGGCCCUUACGAGUAGGGCUACACACGUGCUACAAUGGCGUAUACAAAGAGAAGCGACCUCGCGAGAGCAAGCGGAACUCAUAAAGUACGUCGUAGUCCGGAUUGGAGUCUGCAACUCGACUCCAUGAAGUCGGAAUCGCUAGUAAUCGUAGAUCAGAAUGCUACGGUGAAUACGUUCCCGGGCCUUGUACACACCGCCCGUCACACCAUGGGAGUGGGUUGCAAAAGAAGUAGGUAGCUUAACCUUCGGGAGGGCGCUUACCACUUUGUGAUUCAUGACUGGGGUGAAGUCGUAACAAGGUAACCA
RNAcentral lists this ribosomal RNA (694 nucleotides) under uncultured Providencia sp. RNAcentral describes it as "bacterial SSU rRNA". It matches the Rfam family "Bacterial small subunit ribosomal RNA", at positions 805 to 1502 of the family's 1533-position model. Lineage: Bacteria; Pseudomonadati; Pseudomonadota; Gammaproteobacteria; Enterobacterales; Morganellaceae. The record is from RNAcentral.